CUAUCAUGCAGUCGAGCGAACUGAUUAGAAGCUUGCUUCUAUGACGUUAGCGGCGGACGGGUGAGUAACACGUGGGCAACCUGCCUGUAAGACUGGGAUAACUUCGGGAAACCGAAGCUAAUACCGGAUAGGAUCUUCUCCUUCAUGGGAGAUGAUUGAAAGAUGGUUUCGGCUAUCACUUACAGAUGGGCCCGCGGUGCAUUAGCUAGUUGGUGAGGUAACGGCUCACCAAGGCAACGAUGCAUAGCCGACCUGAGAGGGUGAUCGGCCACACUGGGACUGAGACACGGCCCAGACUCCUACGGGAGGCAGCAGUAGGGAAUCUUCCGCAAUGGACGAAAGUCUGACGGAGCAACGCCGCGUGAGUGAUGAAGGCUUUCGGGUCGUAAAACUCUGUUGUUAGGGAAGAACAAGUAUGAGAGUAACUGCUCGUACCUUGACGGUACCUAACCAGAAAGCCACGGCUAACUACGUGCCAGCAGCCGCGGUAAUACGUAGGUGGCAAGCGUUAUCCGGAAUUAUUGGGCGUAAAGCGCGCGCAGGCGGUUUCUUAAGUCUGAUGUGAAAGCCCACGGCUCAACCGUGGAGGGUCAUUGGAAACAGGGGAACUUGAGUGCAGAAGAGAAAAGCGGAAUUCCACGUGUAGCGGUGAAAUGCGUAGAGAUGUGGAGGAACACCAGUGGCGAAGGCGGCUUUUUGGUCUGUAACUGACGCUGAGGCGCGAAAGCGUGGGGAGCAAACAGGAUUAGAUACCCUGGUAGUCCACGCCGUAAACGAUGAGUGCUAAGUGUUAGAGGGUUUCCGCCCUUUUGUGCUGCAGCUAACGCAUUAAGCACUCCGCCUGGGGAGUACGGUCGCAAGACUGAAACUCAAAGGAAUUGACGGGGGCCCGCACAAGCGUGGAGCAUGUGGUUUAAUUCGAAGCAACGCGAAGAACCUUACCAGGUCUUGACAUCCUCUGACAACUCUAGAGAUAGACGUUCCCUUCGGGGAC
This 994-nucleotide ribosomal RNA is filed under the name uncultured bacterium. RNAcentral describes it as "bacterial SSU rRNA". It matches the Rfam family "Bacterial small subunit ribosomal RNA", at positions 50 to 1027 of the family's 1533-position model. The record is from RNAcentral.